This 497-nucleotide ribosomal RNA is filed under the name uncultured bacterium. RNAcentral's name for it is "partial 16S ribosomal RNA". It matches the Rfam family "Bacterial small subunit ribosomal RNA", at positions 28 to 507 of the family's 1533-position model. The record is from RNAcentral.
GAUGAACGCUGGCGGCGUGCCUAAUACAUGCAAGUCGAGCGAACAGACGAGGAGCUUGCUCCUCUGACGUUAGCUGCGGACGGGUGAGUAACACGUGGAUAACCUACCUAUAAGACUGGGAUAACUCCGGGAAACCGGCGCUAAUACCGGAUAAUAUAUUGAACCGCAUGGUUAUAUAGUGAAAGACGGUUUUGCUGUCACUUAUAGUUGGACCCGCGCCGCAUUAGCUAGUUGGUAAGGUAACGGCUUACCAAGGCAACGAUGCGUAGCCGACCUGAGAGGGUGAUCGGCCACACUGGAACUGGGACACGGUCCAGACUCCUACGGGAGGCAGCAGUAGGGAAUCUUCCGCAAUGGGCGAAGGCCUGACGGAGCAACGCCGCGUGAGUGAUGAAGGUCUUCGGAUCGUAAAACUCUGUUAUUAGGGAAGAACAAAUGUGUAAGUAACUAUGCACAUCUUGACGGUACCUAAUCAGAAAGCCACGGCUAACUACGUG